GACGAACGCUGGCGGCGUGCUUAACACAUGCAAGUCGAACGGUAAGGCCCUUCGGGGUACACGAGUGGCGAACGGGUGAGUAACACGUGGGUGAUCUGCCCUGCACUUCGGGAUAAGCCUGGGAAACUGGGUCUAAUACCGGAUAGGACCACUGCCUGCAUGGGUGGUGGUGGAAAGCUUUUGCGGUGUGGGAUGGGCCCGCGGCCUAUCAGCUUGUUGGUGGGGUGAUGGCCUACCAAGGCGACGACGGGUAGCCGGCCUGAGAGGGUGACCGGCCACACUGGGACUGAGAUACGGCCCAGACUCCUACGGGAGGCAGCAGCGGGGAGUAUUGCACAAUGGGCGCAAGCCUGAUGCAGCGACGCCGCGUGAGGGAUGACGGCCUUCGGGUUGUAAACCUCUUUCAGUAGGGACGAAGCGCAAGUGACGGUACCUACAGAAGAAGGACCGGCCAACUACGUGCCAGCAGCCGCCGCAG
This 478-nucleotide ribosomal RNA is filed under the name uncultured bacterium. Its description in RNAcentral is "partial 16S ribosomal RNA". It matches the Rfam family "Bacterial small subunit ribosomal RNA", at positions 28 to 523 of the family's 1533-position model. The record is from RNAcentral.